This is a long non-coding RNA of Trematomus bernacchii (emerald rockcod), 128 nucleotides long. RefSeq lists it as uncharacterized. The record is from RefSeq and is a predicted model, not a curated record. The transcript has 3 exons. Lineage: Eukaryota; Metazoa; Chordata; Actinopteri; Perciformes; Nototheniidae.
CUUGUCUUUGAGCAGUGUCUGCGAUACAGAUCUAGUAAAGAAGAAAAGGAAGUCAUCACUUUCCUACUUGUGAAAAGUAUUCCUCUAUUUUCACACACUCUUCAGUAUCGAAGUCUCAGCAACAAUGA